CCCUAAACUGCCCAUGCCGGACCCCGCCGAACUGGAGGAGAGAUUUGCGAUCGCACUGAACUCUAUGAACCUUCCUCCGGAUAAAGUGAGGCUCCUUAGACAGUAUGACAACGAAAAAAAUGGGAGCUGAUAUGUGAUCAGGAACGAUUCCAAGUGAAGAAUCCUCCCCAUACAUACAUUCAGAAGCUCAGAAGCUUCCUGGACCCUGCCGUCACCAGGAAGAAAUUUAGAAGGCGGGUUCAAGAGUCAACUCAGGUGCUCAGAGAGCUGGAGAUAUCUCUUAGGACCAAUCACAUCGGGUGGGUGAGAGAGUUUCUCAAUGAAGAAAAUAAAGGGCUUGAUGUUCUUGUGGAGUACCUGUCUUUUGCCCAGUAUGCUGUCACAUUUGAUGGAGAUGUAACAGAG
Long non-coding RNA from Puntigrus tetrazona (Sumatra barb), 405 nucleotides. RefSeq lists it as uncharacterized. The transcript has 6 exons. Lineage: Eukaryota; Metazoa; Chordata; Actinopteri; Cypriniformes; Cyprinidae. The record is from RefSeq and is a predicted model, not a curated record.